AAAAACAUGGCCUUUUGAUUAUAAUUUAAGGUCUAGCCUGCCCUAUGAAUAUUAAAUGGCCGCAGUAUUCUAACUGUGCAAAGGUAGCAUAAUCAAUAGUUUCUUAAUUAGAAGCUUGUAUGAAAGGUCUUAUGAGAAAAUAACUGUCUCUAUUAAAAUUAAAUAGAAUUUUAUUUUUAAGUAAAAAAGCUUAAAUAUUAAUUGAAGACGAGAAGACCCUAUAGAGUUUAAUAUUUAUGUAUUUAAUAUACUUUAGUAUUUUAAUUUUAUUAAAUAUAAUAUUAUUUAGUUGGGGUGAUUGCAAAAUUAAUUAAACUUUUGUUUUAUAUUUACAUUUAUUUAUGAUUAUUUGAUCCUUAAUUAAAGAUUAUAAGAUAAAAUUACCUUAGGGAUAACAGCGUAAUUUUUUUUGAGAGAUCUUAUCGAUAAAAAAGAUUGCGACCUCGAUGUUGGAUUAAAGUUAAUUUAUGGUGUAGAAGCUGUAAGAUUAGGUCUGUUCGACCUUUAAAACUUUACUUGAUCUGAGUU
This 528-nucleotide ribosomal RNA is filed under the name Rhinoncus albicinctus. RNAcentral's name for it is "partial 16S ribosomal RNA". It matches the Rfam family "Bacterial large subunit ribosomal RNA", at positions 1809 to 2611 of the family's 2925-position model. The record is from RNAcentral. Lineage: Eukaryota; Metazoa; Arthropoda; Insecta; Coleoptera; Curculionidae.